This 253-nucleotide ribosomal RNA is filed under the name uncultured bacterium. Its description in RNAcentral is "partial 16S ribosomal RNA". It matches the Rfam family "Bacterial small subunit ribosomal RNA", at positions 525 to 776 of the family's 1533-position model. The record is from RNAcentral.
ACGGAGGGCGCAAGCGUUGUUCGGAAUUACUGGGCGUAAAGGGCGGGCAGGUGGUCCGUUAAGUCGUCUGUGAAAAUCCGGGGCUCAACCCCGCGAAAUGCAGACGAUACUGGCGGACUAGAGAUCGGUAGAGGCUAGCGGAAUUCCUGGUGUAGCGGUGGAAUGCGUAGAUAUCAGGAAGAACACCCGUGGCGAAGGCGGCUAGCUGGGCCGAGUCUGACACUCAUCCGCGAAAGCGUGGGGAGCAAACAGG